GCGGACGUAGCUCAACGGUUAGAGCACUGGACUGUGGCUCCAGGUGCUGCGGGUUCGAGUCCCGUCGUCCGCCCCA
This 76-nucleotide transfer RNA is filed under the name Thermodesulfovibrio yellowstonii. RNAcentral describes it as "tRNA-His". It matches the Rfam family "tRNA". Rfam says of the family: Transfer RNA (tRNA) molecules are approximately 80 nucleotides in length. Lineage: Bacteria; Pseudomonadati; Nitrospirota; Thermodesulfovibrionia; Thermodesulfovibrionales; Thermodesulfovibrionaceae. RNAcentral also lists the same sequence under 4 other names. The record is from RNAcentral.